GCCAGACUCCUACGGGAGGCAGCAGUGGGGGAUAUUGCACAAUGGGGGGAACCCUGAUGCAGCGACGCCGCGUGGGUGAAGAAGCGCCUCGGCGCGUAAAGCCCUGUCAGCAGGGAAGAAAAUGACGGUACCUGAAGAAGAAGCCCCGGCUAACUACGUGCCAGCAGCCGCGGUAAUACGUAUGGGGCAAGCGUUAUCCGGAUUUACUGGGUGUAAAGGGAGCGUAGGCGGCAGGGCAAGCCUGAUGUGAAAGCCCGGGGCUCAACCCCGGGACUGCAUUGGGAACUGCCCCGCUCGAGUGCCGGAGGGGCAGGCGGAAUUCCUAGUGUAGCGGUGAAAUGCGUAGAUAUUAGGAGGAACACCAGUGGCGAAGGCGGCCUGCUGGACGGUGUACUGACGCUGAGGCUCGAAAGCGUGGGGAGCAAACAGGAUUAGAUACCCCCGUAC
RNAcentral lists this ribosomal RNA (447 nucleotides) under uncultured bacterium. RNAcentral's name for it is "bacterial SSU rRNA". It matches the Rfam family "Bacterial small subunit ribosomal RNA", at positions 330 to 793 of the family's 1533-position model. The record is from RNAcentral.